RNAcentral lists this ribosomal RNA (494 nucleotides) under uncultured bacterium. RNAcentral's name for it is "partial 16S ribosomal RNA". It matches the Rfam family "Bacterial small subunit ribosomal RNA", at positions 28 to 507 of the family's 1533-position model. The record is from RNAcentral.
GACGAACGCUGGCGGCGUGCUUAACACAUGCAAGUCGAACGGUGAAGCGCCUUCCUUUUUGGUGGGUGUGGAUGAGUGGCGAACGGGUGAGUAACACGUGAGUAACCUGCCCCCUUCUUCUGGAUAACCGCAUGAAAGUGUGGCUAAUACGGGAUAUUCUGGGUCUGCCGCAUGAUGGGUCUGGGAAAGAUAUUGUUUCGGUGGGGGAUGGGCUCGCGGCCUAUCAGCUUGUUGGUGGGGUGAUGGCCUACCAAGGCGGUGACGGGUAGCCGGCCUGAGAGGGUGGACGGUCACACUGGGACUACGACACGGCCCAGACUCCUACGGGAGGCAGCAGUGGGGAAUAUUGCACAAUGGGCGCAAGCCUGAUGCAGCGACGCCGCGUGAGGGAUGGAGGCCUUCGGGUUGUGAACCUCUUUCGCCAGUGAAGCAGGCCUGCCUCGUUUGUGGGUGGGUUGACGGUAGCUGGAUAAGAAGCGCCGGCUAACUACGUG